Molecule: ribosomal RNA, 18 nt
Filed under: Anthoxanthum odoratum
Lineage: Eukaryota; Viridiplantae; Streptophyta; Magnoliopsida; Poales; Poaceae
Description: partial 18S ribosomal RNA
Source: RNAcentral
ACCUGGUUGAUCCCUGCA